Molecule: ribosomal RNA, 254 nt
Filed under: uncultured bacterium
Lineage: Bacteria
Description: partial 16S ribosomal RNA
Rfam family: Bacterial small subunit ribosomal RNA
Source: RNAcentral
UACGUAGGUGGCGAGCGUUGUCCGGAUUUAUUGGGCGUAAAGAGCUCGUAGGCGGUUUGGUAAGUUGGAUGUGAAAUCUCCAGGCUCAACUUGGAGGGGUCAUUCGAUACUGCCAUGACUAGAGUUCGGUAGGGGAGUGUGGAAUUCCUGGUGGAGCGGUGAAAUGCGCAGAUAUCAGGAGGAACACCCGUAGCGAAGGCGGCACUCUGGGCCGGAACUGACGCUGAGGAGCGAAGGCGUGGGGAGCGAACAGG